UACGUAGGGCGCAAGCGUUGUCCGGAAUUAUUGGGCGUAAAGAGCUCGUAGGCGGUCUGUCGCGUCUGCUGUGAAAACCCGAGGCUCAACCUCGGGCCUGCAGUGGGUACGGGCAGACUAGAGUGUGGUAGGGGAGACUGGAAUUCCUGGUGUAGCGGUGGAAUGCGCAGAUAUCAGGAGGAACACCAAUGGCGAAGGCAGGUCUCUGGGCCACAACUGACGCUGAGGAGCGAAAGCGUGGGGAGCGAACAGG
RNAcentral lists this ribosomal RNA (253 nucleotides) under uncultured bacterium. RNAcentral describes it as "partial 16S ribosomal RNA". It matches the Rfam family "Bacterial small subunit ribosomal RNA", at positions 524 to 776 of the family's 1533-position model. The record is from RNAcentral.